RNAcentral lists this ribosomal RNA (1456 nucleotides) under uncultured organism. RNAcentral describes it as "SSU rRNA". It matches the Rfam family "Bacterial small subunit ribosomal RNA". The record is from RNAcentral.
AUGAUGAACGCUGGCGGCAGGCCUAACACAUGCAAGUCGAGCGGUAGCACAGAGAGCUUGCUCUCGGGUGACGAGCGGCGGACGGGUGAGUAAUGUCUGGGAAACUGCCUGAUGGAGGGGGAUAACUACUGGAAACGGUAGCUAAUACCGCAUAAUGUCGCAAGACCAAAGUGGGGGACCUUCGGGCCUCAUGCCAUCAGAUGUGCCCAGAUGGGAUUAGCUAGUAGGUGGGGUAACGGCUCACCUAGGCGACGAUCCCUAGCUGGUCUGAGAGGAUGACCAGCCACACUGGAACUGAGACACGGUCCAGACUCCUACGGGAGGCAGCAGUGGGGAAUAUUGCACAAUGGGCGCAAGCCUGAUGCAGCCAUGCCGCGUGUGUGAAGAAGGCCUUCGGGUUGUAAAGCACUUUCAGCGGGGAGGAAGGCGAUAAGGUUAAUAACCUUGUCGAUUGACGUUACCCGCAGAAGAAGCACCGGCUAACUCCGUGCCAGCAGCCGCGGUAAUACGGGGGGUGCAAGCGUUAAUCGGAAUUACUGGGCGUAAAGCGCACGCAGGCGGUCUGUCAAGUCGGAUGUGAAAUCCCCGGGCUUAACCUGGGAACUGCAUUCGAAACUGGCAGGCUAGAGUCUUGUAGAGGGGGGUAGAAUUCCAGGUGUAGCGGUGAAAUGCGUAGAGAUCUGGAGGAAUACCGGUGGCGAAGGCGGCCCCCUGGACAAAGACUGACGCUCAGGUGCGAAAGCGUGGGGAGCAAACAGGAUUAGAUACCCUGGUAGUCCACGCCGUAAACGAUGUCGAUUUGGAGGUUGUGCCCUUGAGGCGUGGCUUCCGGAGCUAACGCGUUAAAUCGACCGCCUGGGGAGUACGGCCGCAAGGUUAAAACUCAAAUGAAUUGACGGGGGCCCGCACAAGCGGUGGAGCAUGUGGUUUAAUUCGAUGCAACGCGAAGAACCUUACCUGGUCUUGACAUCCACAGAACUUUCCAGAGAUGGAUUGGUGCCUUCGGGAACUGUGAGACAGGUGCUGCAUGGCUGUCGUCAGCUCGUGUUGUGAAAUGUUGGGUUAAGUCCCGCAACGAGCGCAACCCUUAUCCUUUGUUGCCAGCGGUUCGGCCGGGAACUCAAAGGAGACUGCCAGUGAUAAACUGGAGGAAGGUGGGGAUGACGUCAAGUCAUCAUGGCCCUUACGACCAGGGCUACACACGUGCUACAAUGGCAUAUACAAAGAGAAGCGACCUCGCGAGAGCAAGCGGACCUCAUAAAGUAUGUCGUAGUCCGGAUUGGAGUCUGCAACUCGACUCCAUGAAGUCGGAAUCGCUAGUAAUCGUAGAUCAGAAUGCUACGGUGAAUACGUUCCCGGGCCUUGUACACACCGCCCGUCACACCAUGGGAGUGGGUUGCAAAAGAAGUAGGUAGCUUAACCUUCGGGAGGGCGCUUACCACUUUGUGAUUCAUGA